UUAGAAGCUUCUUCGUUAACGACUUAACGUCGAUAGCUUUGUUGUCUUUCUUGAAAUCGAAAUCUCAUCCUACUCCUCUUACAUUAUACAGCGGUCAGGUAAAUUGUCAACGACGUCUACGAGACAACUUCACGCAAAAAAGUGGAUGGCAAAAAGCAUUCUUGAAAUUUUCCAUUUAAUUAAUACUAAACACAAAUUAAAAAGCAGUUACUUUAACUUGUAAAAUUUUACUGCUUAACAAUUCAUAACAAAUUCAUAGCAAUACUGUACCGUUAAGCAAACUCCUCAUUAAAAUUGUUUUUGACUAAAA
Xenia sp. Carnegie-2017 is the source of this 310-nucleotide long non-coding RNA. RefSeq lists it as uncharacterized. NCBI's taxonomy places the organism in Eukaryota, Metazoa, Cnidaria, Anthozoa, Malacalcyonacea, Xeniidae. The transcript is spliced from 2 exons. The record is from RefSeq and is a predicted model, not a curated record.